GCCCUGGAUCUGGUCCUGGGUGGUAGUUAAGGUGGUCAGCAUGAUGGCUCUCCCUUAUCUGCAUCACCAGGACAUCCUUCCAGCACUGCUCCAGCUAGGCCAUUCAAUGCCACCAUUAGCAGGAGGCUGGGUAUCAAGGGAGGAGGGCAUUACCCUCACCCUGACACCACCUCAGGACAUAUGAGUGAUGGUGCCAGUUCUCCCCUGCUCUCAUCCCAGGGUCCUGCUCCUCAUCUGUGCCCCUCCACCAGGGCAUAAAGCAGCUUUGCCACCAAGCCAGGCAUCAAGCUAGGAUGAACAAAGAGCUGCCACCUACUCUGCUCCUGACUGAUAUAAGCACAACACCACCAACCAGGAAGCUCCCAGAACUCUCAGACCCCCCAAGGACUGCACCAUGGUUCUGACUGCUCAGUCACAUGCCCUUGACCUCUUUCCCAUCCCACAGAAAUGUGCAAGCACUUCAAUAUUCCUUUAUAAUAAAGACUUGCUCAGUCUGUUAUGAA
Molecule: long non-coding RNA, 503 nt
Filed under: Mus caroli (Ryukyu mouse)
Lineage: Eukaryota; Metazoa; Chordata; Mammalia; Rodentia; Muridae
Description: predicted gene 15339 (MGP_CAROLIEiJ_G0006613.1)
Source: RNAcentral